RNAcentral lists this transfer RNA (86 nucleotides) under Candidatus Parcubacteria bacterium. Its description in RNAcentral is "tRNA-Leu". It matches the Rfam family "tRNA". From Rfam's summary of the family: Transfer RNA (tRNA) molecules are approximately 80 nucleotides in length. Lineage: Bacteria; Candidatus Parcubacteria. The record is from RNAcentral.
GCCCAGGUGGCGGAACUGGUAUACGCAACGGGUUGAGGGCCCGUGCUCGCAAGAGCGUGAGGGUUCGAGUCCCUCCCUGGGCACCA